UACGAAGGGGGCUAGCGUUGUUCGGAUUUACUGGGCGUAAAGCGCACGUAGGCGGAUCGUUAAGUCGGGGGUGAAAUCCUGGAGCUCAACUCCAGAACUGCCUUCGAUACUGGCGAUCUUGAGUCCGGAAGGGGUGAGUGGAACUCCUAGUGUAGAGGUGGAAUUCGUAGAUAUUAGGAAGAACACCAGUGGCGAAGGCGACUUUCUGGGCUGUAACUGACGCUGAGGCGCGAAAGCGUGGGGAGCAAACAGG
RNAcentral lists this ribosomal RNA (253 nucleotides) under uncultured bacterium. RNAcentral's name for it is "partial 16S ribosomal RNA". It matches the Rfam family "Bacterial small subunit ribosomal RNA", at positions 524 to 776 of the family's 1533-position model. The record is from RNAcentral.